CUACUCUUCGCUGUCGCGGCGUCGUUUGAGGCAGAUAAGGGUAUAAAGCACAAGUUCCGCCAUGGCGAUGGAGGGAAGCCACCGUCUACUGGUGCAAACAUGGGAUAAGCACAGUGAUUUACAUUAUCCAAAAGGCUUCAUGCUUACUGCUUGAUUUGAGUACCUCUCUUUUCCCUUUGAAUUGCUUAUUACUACUCUCAAACUUAUCUACUAGCUUCCGAUUCUAUAGUUCUAAUGUACACAAGGUGCUCUAAUAUUGCUAAAAUCCAGGCAUUUUCAAUGGUGUUUAGGGUUUCUCGAAAUCUCAGAUGCUUUAAACUAUUUCACACCGCAAAGGCCCAAUCUUUGCCAAUCGGGUUCCAUUUAAAACCCCCAUUAAACCCUAAAUGCGUCUGCUUUACAGCACUUAAGCUAGAGUUUGAUUACAAGUCACACAAAACUUCCACUACGUGUCAGUGUAAAUACAGAGAAAUGAGUAAUAUAGCUAAAGGUGGAAGUGUUUCAAAUGGGUUUAGGCUUAUAAGUGCCGUACCAUGUUGUACUGUGCUGAGAGCUAGAAGUUUUUCUAGUUCAUAUUCCCAGGGAAUUGGUAAAGGGAGUCCUGCAUUGAAAGCUGGAAAGUCACUUCCUUGGUUAAGUUCUGACAAAGUUGAGGCAACGAAAGGGUUUGAGAAAAGGGCAAGUGCAAACAUCAGUCGUUCUCAUCGGGAGGAAUCGACCAAAAGAUUGGAGAAAGGCACUACUGGCUCUUCAUGGCAGGAAUCGGUUAAAAGGUUAGAGAAAGGAGCAGUUGCCAAAACUCACUCCUUGUCUCGGGAGGAGCCUGCAAAAGGGUUAGAGAAAGGGGCAGUUACAAGAAGUGCUCGAUCUUCUUGGAAGGAUUCAGUGGAAACUGCUUUGGAGAAGAAGAGCAAUUAUACGGUGAGGAAUAAAGAAAAUAGAAAUAGAAUGUUGGGUGGGGUGAAGGACAGGAAGUAUGACACUGGUUACAAAGAAAGGAACGAUAGUGUUGAUGAAGAGGAAGAUGAAUUGGAUGUUGUUGAUGAUCCCAGAUGGGAUAAGAUAAAAAACACGUUCAAAGGAAUGGCAGAUGUGAAAGGUAGGACUGAGAAGCCUGCGCUUCGAAGGUGGAAUAAGCAGGAAAAUUGGGGUAGAAAGACAUGGGGAGAAGCUACUGAAUCAACUGUACCUAAGAUGGUUGGCGAAGGCGUUUAUGGGGUAGGUCCUGUUUUGGCUGCACUUUCAGCUGGUAGAAGAGAAUUCUAUGCAUUGUAUGUUCAAGAAGGAUUGGAUUUGAGUGGUAAUAACAAGAAGAAGAAGGACAAGAAAGGGAUUGAGAAGGUGUUGAGGAUGGCUGAAAAAAUUGGGUUAAGCAUAAAGGAAGUUUCAAAACAUGAUCUGAAUAUGGUUGUUGAUAAUCGCCCCCACCAGGGCCUAGUGUUGGAUGCUUCACCUUUGGAGAUGGUGAAAAUAAAGGAGUUGGAGCCUGUUUUGCCUGAGGAUGAGAAAGGUUCUCUUUGGGUAGCUUUGGAUGAGGUUACAGAUCCCCAGAACUUGGGGGCAAUUAUUAGGUCUGCUUACUUCUUUGGGGCUUCAGGGGUGGUGCUAUGUGCAAAAAAUUCAGCUCCUUUAAGUGGGGUUGUCAGCAAAGCAAGUGCAGGAUCACUUGAACUAAUGGAGCUCAGGUAUUGCAAGAAUAUGAUGCAGUUCCUAGUAUCUUCCGCUGAAAAUGGGUGGCGAGUUCUUGGAGGUUCUGUUUCUCCAAAAGCUGUUUCCUUGAAUGAAAUUUUGCCUGGUGAACCCACAAUUCUUGUUUUGGGUAGUGAGGGCGCUGGCUUGAGGCCAUUAGUGGAGAGAUCAUGUACCCAUUUAGUUCGGAUCCCUGGAAAUAUUCCUGUGGAUGUAACAUUGGGAGGGAAUGAUGGUUUGGAACCUGAAGAAACAAAUCUUGAGCGCUCAAGUGAAGAGUACCGGUCCCUUUUGGCCGUGGAGAGUUUGAAUGUCAGUGUUGCGGCUGGUGUGCUUCUUCACCACUUAAUUGGUAGCAACAACAAUGAUGAGGUCUGCAUACAUGAUAAGUAGAUUGUACUUUUGUACUUGAAUGAAACUUCAUGUGGAAGCUGCAUGGAAACUCCACUGCAUUUUAAGUACACAAAAUUGUUAUCUUUAUGCUUUUCGUUUUGGCUUUUCUUUUGCAAAAUACUUUAGUAUAAGAAUUAUAUCAGUAAUAGGGUUACACAUGAUAAUGGGAAAUUGAAGUUUCGCCCUAUUUCCACCCGUUGGUGGUUACAUUUGUGCCAGAAAUUUCCACUAGGUAGUAUCUGAAGUUACACACUUGAGAUUUUGUGGCGUGGAAUCGAAUUCUCUUUUAUCCCCUCAUUUAAUUUUUGCACAGAAAUGUGUAGUUUUGUCUUAUUCUUUCCAUUUUUUGGCAGCAAUAUUUGGCUUCAUCAGGGAGGCGAGGGUGAGUUCUUCGAAUGCUUUCUGUUCAAGUACAAUUUCGGCUCACAAAAAGAGCACAUGAAUGUGUUUGCAUUGAUGCAGUUAGAAAUAAAAAUAUAGAGGGCACUUACAAAAUUAGAAUACAAGCCUUGAUAACUGUUGGCUUUUUAGCUUGUGUGAGAAAUUUCGCACAAGCAAAUAAAAUUAUGGUAUGCGGGCUUUCUUCUGCCUCUGCUGUUGUUUUCUUUCAGAGGUUUUAUCAUCAUAUCACAUCCCACGUUUGAACUUGCACGCACAGCUGACAUGAUACGUUGGUAGAUUACUAGAUUUGUCACUUAAUCAUGUCUUUUAUAUUUUCUGUAUCAAGUCACUUGAAUAUGCAAGCAGUUGAAAAUCAUUUCUACAAGAUGCUGUAAAUUUCAAAUUCAGGUAAGUGAUGACAUGGGCUUAGAAUCACUGAAGUUUUGCAACAAAUCAAUGGUGGAAAGCUAAUGAAAAAAGACAAGAAAGGUUCCUGCACCUGCACGUUUGCAGUCUACCAAAAUAAUAGACAGAAGAAGCAGCUAGCUAUGGACAAGUUUCCCAUUUGAUUUACCAAAUGCAGGGAAAAGUCCAUUUCCUUGGCUGUGUUGCAUAAAGCUGUCUAUACUAAUUUCAUGUCCAUGAUGAACAUGGCCACCUUCUCUCAAUAUUCAUCAAGGUCAUAAUGGAUUGCCACCUAAGCUUGGGCCCUCCACCCCUUCCUCUUGCUGCUAAGUUGUUUUAUUUUCAAGUAACAAAAAGGUAACUUUAUAUGCAUUGAAAUUAAAUUCUUUACUGUGCAAUUUACAUUUAAUUUGUAUUUAUAAUUCAGCUCUUAAUCAUGUGAAAAGGCCAACAAUCCUCUUAAUCAUGUGAAAAGGCCAACAAUC
This 3353-nucleotide unclassified non-coding RNA is filed under the name Hevea brasiliensis (rubber tree). Lineage: Eukaryota; Viridiplantae; Streptophyta; Magnoliopsida; Malpighiales; Euphorbiaceae. The record is from RNAcentral.